Molecule: regulatory RNA element, 135 nt
Organism: Aneurinibacillus sp. XH2
Lineage: Bacteria; Bacillati; Bacillota; Bacilli; Caryophanales; Paenibacillaceae
Rfam family: Ribosomal protein L10 leader
About the family: This family is a putative r-protein leader autoregulatory structure found in B. subtilis and other low-GC Gram-positive bacteria.
Source: Rfam
UAAAUGAAUAUGCCGUUACCGUAGACAGAAGGUGCCUGUUCAGGCAGGCUUAAUAUCCUUCCGAGGUGCUGAUGAAGAUAUAGAUUUGAUAUCUGAAGCCUUCGCAUGUCUGCGUGGGCUUUUUUCAUUUUGAUA